GGCACACUUACAUUGGGAAAAUGGGCAAGAUUCCCUUUUAAGUCCGCAAGAGGAAAGGAACGAAACAAACUACUGGAACCAAACAUGGAAAUGAUGGUUGAAGACCAAGACUGCGAACCAAUCAAGCUAAAGCGUUAAAGUUGCUCUGAUUAUUAAAUGAAGAUCUAUUUUCC
RNAcentral lists this long non-coding RNA (173 nucleotides) under Mustela putorius furo (domestic ferret). RNAcentral's name for it is "lncRNA (ENSMPUG00000031966.1)". Lineage: Eukaryota; Metazoa; Chordata; Mammalia; Carnivora; Mustelidae. The record is from RNAcentral.